GCUGGGCAUGGUGGUGUCAGCCUAUGGUCCCAGCUACUCAGGAGGCUGAGGCAGGAGGAUUGCUUGAGCCCAGGAGGUUGAGACUGCAGUGAGCUAUUAUCACACCACUGCACUCCAGCCUGGGCAACAGAGCAAGACCCUGUCUCUU
This is a non-coding RNA of Homo sapiens (human), 148 nucleotides long. It matches the Rfam family "Metazoan signal recognition particle RNA". From Rfam's summary of the family: The signal recognition particle (SRP) is a universally conserved ribonucleoprotein. The record is from Rfam. NCBI's taxonomy places the organism in Eukaryota, Metazoa, Chordata, Mammalia, Primates, Hominidae.